This 443-nucleotide ribosomal RNA is filed under the name uncultured bacterium. RNAcentral's name for it is "partial 16S ribosomal RNA". It matches the Rfam family "Bacterial small subunit ribosomal RNA", at positions 338 to 795 of the family's 1533-position model. The record is from RNAcentral.
CCUACGGGAGGCAGCAGUGGGGGAUAUUGGACAAUGGGGGGAACCCUGAUCCAGCGACGCCGCGUGCGUGAAGAAGUAUUUCGGUAUGUAAAGCUCUGUCAGCAGGGAAGAAAGAAAUGACGGUACCUGACCAAGAAGCCCCGGCUAACUACGUGCCAGCAGCCGCGGUAAUACGUAGGGGGCAAGCGUUAUCCGGAAUUACUGGGUGUAAAGGGUGCGUAGACGGUUAAGUAAGUCUGGAGUGAAAGGCCGGGGCUCAACCCCGGGACUGCUCUGGAAACUAUUUACCUUGAGUGCAGGAGAGGUAAGCGGAAUUCCUGGUGUAGCGGUGAAAUGCGUAGAUAUUAGGAGGAACACCAGUGGCGAAGGCGGCUUACUGGACUGUAACUGACGUUGAGGCUCGAAAGCGUGGGGAGCAAACAGGAUUAGAUACCCGGGUAGUC